Molecule: long non-coding RNA, 548 nt
Filed under: Sus scrofa (pig)
Lineage: Eukaryota; Metazoa; Chordata; Mammalia; Artiodactyla; Suidae
Description: lncRNA (ENSSSCG00065023921.1)
Source: RNAcentral
GCUUCGCUUCUCACAUCCACAACCCAUGUGCUCUACUUCCAUUUUUUCCUCUCAUUCCUGUUCCAAGCACAUCUGAAGGGCCCUCCAGACUAAGACUCCACCAUGAGCACCUUUCACCUUGCACUUCCCCGACCCUGCUUCCCUUGUCCAGGACUACCAACAGGAUGCUGGACCAGGCUGAGCUGGACAGCCAUAGCCAGGUAGCCAGUUGGAUCCCUCUCCAGUGAUAACAAAGGUCUGGAGUCUCAGAGGGCUUUUCCUAGGACAAGACGUACCUCCAGAUCAAGAAAUUAUUUCAGCUGUGGCAUGAUCAACAAGUUCUGGAGCGGAAGGAAACCUUUCUAAACCACAAAUAACAAAAAACAUCUAUCUAUUAUGUCAGAAGACAAAGUUGUCUUUCUAUUCUCUGUACAUAAAAUGGCAUUGUAAAAUUUUUACCAUGUGAAAAAAGAUCAAUGAGUAUAACGCCAAAAAUAUAGGGAAAAGAUGUAUUACAUAGAUGGGUCAGCACUUAAGUUGUAAUUGUAGCAAAAAUUGUUAAUUAAAAC